ACAGAUGGGAGCUUGCUCCCUGAUGUUAGCGGCGGACGGGUGAGUACACGUGGGUAACCUGCCUGUAAGACUGGGAUAACUCCGGGAAACCGGGGCUAAUACCGGAUGCUUGUUUGAACCGCAUGGUUCAAACAUAAAAGGUGGCUUCGGCUACCACUUACAGAUGGACCCGCGGCGCAUUAGCUAGUUGGUGAGGUAAUGGCUCACCAAGGCAACGAUGCGUAGCCGACCUGAGAGGGUGAUCGGCCACACUGGGACUGAGACACGGCCCAGACUCCUACGGGAGGCAGCAGUAGGGAAUCUUCCGCAAUGGACGAAAGUCUGACGGAGCAACGCCGCGUGAGUGAUGAAGGUUUUCGGAUCGUAAAGCUCUGUUGUUAGGGAAGAACAAGUACCGUUCGAAUAGGGCGGUACCUUGACGGUACCUAACCAGAAAGCCACGGCUAACUACGUGCCAGCAGCCGCGGUAAUACGUAGGUGGCAAGCGUUGUCCGGAAUUAUUGGGCGUAAAGGGCUCGCAGGCGGUUCCUUAAGUCUGAUGUGAAAGCCCCCGGCUCAACCGGGGAGGGUCAUUGGAAACUGGGGAACUUGAGUGCAGAAGAGGAGAGUGGAAUUCCACGUGUAGCGGUGAAAUGCGUAGAGAUGUGGAGGAACACCAGUGGCGAAGGCGACUCUCUGGUCUGUAACUGACGCUGAGGAGCGAAAGCGUGGGGAGCGAACAGGAUUAGAUACCCUGGUAGUCCACGCCGUAAACGAUGAGUGCAAGUGUUAGGGGGUUU
This 779-nucleotide ribosomal RNA is filed under the name Bacillus sp. (in: firmicutes). RNAcentral's name for it is "bacterial SSU rRNA". It matches the Rfam family "Bacterial small subunit ribosomal RNA", at positions 69 to 832 of the family's 1533-position model. The record is from RNAcentral. Lineage: Bacteria; Bacillati; Bacillota; Bacilli; Caryophanales; Bacillaceae.